UACGUAGGGGGCUAGCGUUGUCCGGAAUCAUUGGGCGUAAAGCGCGUGUAGGCGGCCCGGUAAGUCCGCUGUGAAAGUCGGGGGCUCAACCCUCGAAUGCCGGUGGAUACUGUCGGGCUAGAGUACGGAAGAGGCGAGUGGAAUUCCUGGUGUAGCGGUGGAAUGCGCAGAUAUCAGGAGGAACACCUAUAGCGAAGGCAGCUUGCUGGGACGUUACUGACGCUAAGGCGCGAAAGCGUGGGGAGCGAACAGG
RNAcentral lists this ribosomal RNA (253 nucleotides) under uncultured bacterium. Its description in RNAcentral is "partial 16S ribosomal RNA". It matches the Rfam family "Bacterial small subunit ribosomal RNA", at positions 524 to 776 of the family's 1533-position model. The record is from RNAcentral.